Nomascus leucogenys (northern white-cheeked gibbon) is the source of this 5300-nucleotide RNA transcript. It is a transcript of the gene named ArfGAP with coiled-coil, ankyrin repeat and PH domains 3, with no coding region annotated. Lineage: Eukaryota; Metazoa; Chordata; Mammalia; Primates; Hylobatidae. The record is from RefSeq and is a predicted model, not a curated record. The transcript has 24 exons.
CCGGGGCCGCCGGGGUGGGCGCAGGCCGGGGGCGUCGCUGCAGCCUUUGUGCCCGGCGGCGGGGUGGGGAGGUCAGCGCCGGGCCGGGCCGCGGCCGCCGGGGAUGGGCUGGAGAACCGGUCUCGGACAAAGCGGCGGCCCCGCCCCGUCAUGCCCCGGGGGGCUGGAACAAAAGACGCUCCUGCCCUGGGCGGCCGCCCCGGGCGGAGGGCGUGCGCGUGGGCAGCCGUGGGCACCUCUGGACCGUCCGCCCCCGCUCUGUGUCUGCACCUCCACUGGGCUGAGCCCCUCCCAGGCCCUGCAGUCCAGCUCUGGCCAGGGUCGUCUGGGUCCGUGGGGGCGUCGGCCCCUGGUCUCUGCCUCCAUCCUGUGUCCAGAGCAGCGCGUGGGGGACAGGCAGCUGGAGCCGCGUUUAAGGCCUGGAGUAGGGUGCUUGGAAGCGCGAAGUGGUUGGAUGACCCAGGGGCUUGGAGGGGUGGCGGCCGAGAAGAGCGGCGGGGAAGGUCAGGUAGGGGGUAGGGGUUGUGUGCACACCGAGUCUGCGUAUUUUCCAUCAUUCCUGGCGUGCAGGCGUGCACACCUGCGUGAACCACAUGUUCACAGACGUGUGCACAAGUGUGCAUCGGCCUUGCUUGGUGGACAUUUGGCAAACGACAAUGGAGGCAAAGAAACCUCUCUGCAUCCCCAAGUGCGCACCUGCGUGAGGCCCCCUCCUCUGCAUGUGCUCUUGCGGGGUGCGCUCUUGUGAACUCUGCCCCUCUGUGUGCUUCCCUCGGGACACCAGGCCUUGCACAGGACGUAUGGAUGAGCUGUGCCACGGGGCUGUGCUUGCUUCUGCAUGUAGCCUGCUGAUGAGUGUGCACAAGCGUGUGCACACGCCACCUCUCUGUAUGGGUUCACAUACUGUUAGCCAUGUCACCAACAGACACAUCAGCUUGUGCAUGCGUGUUCCACCACUGGGUAUACAUGCUAAUGCGUGCCUGUGCAGUCUCUCCUUGGACACACAUGUAUGUGUGGUACCAGUGUGUGCAGGCAUGUUUGUGCAUGAACAUGUUUGCACAUGUGUGCUUGAUCAUGUAUGUGCGUGUGCGCGCGCGCUUCGUCUUUUGAGAUCUGCUGGCAAGUCAGCCUGUGUGUGGGGGCACGGGGAGCCUUGGCAUCCCUGGAGCCCUCACCAGGAGGCCUCGGGAGCCUUGGAGUGGGAGGCUCAGGGCCAGCCAGGAGAGUGGCCCCCAGCCCUGGGCAGAGGAACUGGGGCCAUCUUCUGCUCUCUCAUCUUCCGUUGCUGACCUGGGAAAAGGGGUUGAAUAACUUGGGCACCCUAGGAUCCUGCAUUGAGGACCCGGGCUGUGGGGAAGCAUGGGCAUGGCCCCCCUGCUGGGGGCUGGGCCCUGGCUGAAGCACCAACCUUCGCCCUGGCCCCUCCCUCAGAAGCCUAAUGGAUCCCCUCCUCCACGCAGACGGCCCUGUACUGCCCUCGCCCAGUCGGGUGGGGGUGCUGGAACCCACUCACCUCUGGGCCUUCUCUCUGGUAACCCGCUCUCAUGGGAGCUGGUUACAGGAGCCAGUUCUGGGGGCUGUGGGGCUGCAGUAGGUGCCGUAGAGCGGCUGCCCUGGGAAAGUGCCUCGCCCGGUGGAGCAUGGACUGGAGUGGGGAGGGCGACCAUUGACGAGGUGGAGACGGACGUGGUGGAGAUUGAGGCCAAACUGGACAAGCUGGUGAAGCUGUGCAGUGGCAUGGUGGAAGCCGGUAAGGCCUACGUCAGCACCAGCAGGCUGUUCGUGAGCGGCGUCCGCGACCUGUCCCAGCAGUGCCAGGGCGACACCGUCAUCUCGGAAUGUCUGCAGAGGUUCGCUGACAGCCUACAGGAGGUGGUGAACUACCACAUGAUCCUGUUUGACCAGGCCCAGAGGUCUGUGCGGCAGCAGCUCCAGAACUUUGUCAAAGAGGAUGUGCGGAAGUUCAAGGAGACAAAGAAACAGUUUGACAAGGUGCGGGAAGACCUGGAGCUGUCCCUGGUGAGGAACGCCCAGGCCCCAAGGCACCGGCCCCACGAGGUGGAGGAAGCCACGGGGGCCCUCACCCUCACCAGGAAGUGCUUCCGCCACCUGGCACUGGACUAUGUGCUCCAGAUCAAUGUCCUGCAGGCCAAGAAGAAGUUUGAGAUCCUGGACUCUAUGCUGUCCUUCAUGCACGCACAGUCCAGCUUCUUCCAGCAGGGCUACAGCCUCCUGCACCAGCUGGACCCCUACAUGAAGAAGCUGGCGGCUGAGCUGGACCAGCUGGUGAUCGACUCUGCAGUGGAAAAGCGUGAGAUGGAGCGAAAGCAUGCCGCCAUCCAGCAGCGGACGCUGCUGCAGGACUUCUCCUAUGAUGAGUCCAAAGUGGAGUUUGACGUGGACGCGCCCAGUGGGGUGGUGAUGGAGGGCUACCUCUUCAAGAGGGCCAGCAACGCUUUCAAGACGUGGAACCGGCGCUGGUUCUCCAUUCAGAACAGCCAGCUGGUCUACCAGAAGAAGCUCAAGGAUGCCCUCACCGUGGUGGUGGACGACCUCCGCCUGUGCUCUGUGAAGCCGUGUGAGGACAUCGAGCGGAGGUUCUGCUUCGAGGUGCUGUCACCCACCAAGAGCUGCAUGCUGCAGGCCGACUCCGAGAAGCUGCGGCAGGCCUGGGUCCAGGCUGUGCAGGCCAGCAUCGCCUCCGCCUACCGCGAGAGCCCCGACAGCUGCUAUAGCGAGAAGCUGGACCGCACAGCAUCCCCGUCCACGAGCAGCAUCGACUCCGCGACCGACCCUCGGGAGCGUGGCGUGAAGGGCGAGAGUGUGUUGCAGCGUGUGCAGAGUGUGGCCGGCAACAGCCAGUGCGGCGACUGCGGCCAGCCAGACCCCCGCUGGGCCAGCAUCAACCUGGGCGUGCUGCUCUGCAUCGAGUGCUCCGGCAUCCACAGGAGCCUGGGUGUCCACUGCUCCAAGGUCCGGUCCCUGACACUGGACUCGUGGGAGCCAGAGCUGCUAAAGCUGAUGUGUGAGCUUGGAAACAGCACUGUAAAUCAGAUCUAUGAGGCCCGGUGUGAGGGUCCAGGCAGCAGGAAACCCACAGCCAGCAGCUCCCGGACAAGGAGGCCUGGAUCAAGGACAAAUACGUGGAAAAGAAAUUUCUGCGGAAGGCGCCCAUGGCACCAGCCCUGGAGGCCCCAAGACGCUGGAGGGCGCAGAAGUGCCCCCGGCCCCACAGCUCUCCCCGCGCCCCCACUGCCCGCCGCAAGGUCCGGCUUGAGCCCGUUCUGCCCUGUGUGGCCGCACUGUCCUCAGUGGGCACCCUGGACCGUAAGUUCCGCCGAGACUCCCUCUUCUGCCCCGACGAGCUGGACUCGCUCUUCUCCUACUUCGACGCAGGGGCCGCGGGGGCUGGCCCUCGCAGUCUGAGUAGCGACAGUGGCCUUGGGGGCAGCUCGGAUGGCAGCUCAGACGUCCUGGUUUUCGGCUCGGGUUCUGUGGUGGACAGCGUCACUGAGGAGGAGGGUGCGGAGUCGGAGGAGUCCAGCGGUGAGGCAGACGGGGACGCUGAGGCCGAGGCCUGGGGCCUGGCGGACGUGCGCGAGCUGCACCCGGGGCUCUUGGCGCACCGCGCAGCGCGUGCCCGCGACCUUCCUGCGCUGGCGGCGGCGCUGGCCCACGGGGCCGAGGUCAACUGGGCGGACGCGGAGGAUGAGGGCAAGACGCCGCUGGUGCAGGCCGUGCUAGGGGGCUCCUUGAUCGUAUGUGAGUUCCUGCUGCAAAACGGAGCGGACGUGAACCAAAGAGACAGCCGCGGCCGGGGGCCCCUGCACCACGCCACGCUGCUGGGCCGCACCGGCCAGGUUUGCCUGUUCCUGAAGCGGGGCGCGGACCAGCACGCCCUGGACCAAGAGCAGCGGGACCCGUUGGCCAUCGCAGUGCAGGCGGCCAACGCUGACAUCGUGACACUGCUCCGUCUGGCGCGCAUGGCGGAGGAGAUGCGCGAGGCCGAGGCUGCCCCGGGUCCCCCUGGCGCCCUGGCGGGCAGCAGCCCCACGGAGCUCCAGUUCCGCAGGUGCAUCCAGGAGUUCAUCAGCCUCCACCUGGAAGAGAGCUAGGGCCGGGCAGGCCGGGCAGCUGCCACCCCGCCCGGCCCGAUGCCCCGCAUGCUCCGAAGUUCCUGGCGCCCACCCGGCCGCGGCCCUGCCUGUGACCCGCGGGUCGAUGCCCAGCAGCCCCAGUGCCGGGGUGCCGCGGCCCCGCUCGCCCAGGAGGAGAGCGAGGGCCCCGCACUGAGUCUCUUGAAGCCUCACGUUUCCCUGGGGGGAUGCUGCAUCGUCGGGUGCCCCUUGCCCCACCUGGGGAACCUCUGUCUUCAGGUCACCCCUUUUCAGGGGCCUGGGUUGCUCAUGUCACAAGCCACUCUCAAGGCCCGUGUCACCUGUAUCCCUCUGUCCUCAGGGCCUGUGUUACUUUGUGCCCCACUUCUGCCCAGAACACUGACCUGUUAGCUGGGUCCCUCCUGCACACCCCAGAGCCUCCUCCCAGGGCAGAAAGGGUGGCCCAUCCAGGGAACCAACGAGUACCUCACUUAGUGACCCCAGCAUCCAGGCUGGUGUCGCGGGUGCUGGGCGGGAGGGGCUCUGGCCUGGGUCCUCAGCCCUGGCUGGACGCGGGCGUCCCAAGGCCACGUGGCUGGCCACGAAGGUCCCCGUGCCAGACAGCCCCAGCCGCGUCCCGGCCUCCUCCGGAGGCACCUUCUCCCGGUACUCGGCCCAGAGCCUGCGCAUAAAGCCACUUUGCCACUUUGCAGCCCGCAUCUCAUGUUCUUUGUAGUGGACCGAGUGGGUUUGCUAUAGGCCUUGUCUGACUUUGUCUUGCGUCUUUUCUCUGUGGACUCUUGAGGACGCCUGAGCCCCAGCCCUGCCCCUGACCAGCCUCCCCCUUGGGUCCAGGGGUCCCUUGGCUCCUAUUGCAGGGCCUGCCAAUGCCUUCACGCACCCCUUCCCCAAAGGUGCCCGGUAGGGAGGCGGGGCCUCCCCAACUCGGCGCAGGUCAGGCUAAGGCCAGUCGGCUGGUCACUAUGCAAUGCUGCCCUGGGGAGGCUCCCUGAGGGCACAGUGGGCGCUGGACCCGGCCCCCCAACUCUCUUGCCUGCUGCCUGUGACCCUGAAGAACAGAAUUGAUUCUUGCCCCUCUCCCUGUGUGAGCUUGGCCCCGCCUCCUGCCCCAGGCCCCUGCUGGCGGGUCUCACCCCCCACCCCACCCCUCGCUUUGAAUAAACCGCUUGCGCCCACCGCCUG